Molecule: unclassified non-coding RNA, 373 nt
Filed under: Hevea brasiliensis (rubber tree)
Lineage: Eukaryota; Viridiplantae; Streptophyta; Magnoliopsida; Malpighiales; Euphorbiaceae
Source: RNAcentral
AUUCAAUCCAACCAUAAGAACUCUCAAUUUCAGCAUCCCAACAAUCUGCAGCAUAGUGAGCCAUCUCAUUUGCAAGAUGCUGACGGAAACGCAUACGGUCUUUGUCAAUUCCAAGUCGUGUUAGGAAAAGAUAGACUCUCCCGAUAAAGUACCCAAGUGUUUCAUUAUUGACAGUUCCUCGAGAAACAGCUUCACCAAGCUGUAGUUUCUUUGCACACUGUCCAGACACUUGGUCAUCUCUAGGAAACAUUAGAAACUCCAAUUUUGCAACAUCUGAAAAUUUUGGAUGAGAUUUGUCCUGGGGAUCAACAAAAUGUUCGAUUUCUGCCAGAGUGAACUCACGGACUCUAAGAAGACCUUGUCGGGGAGAUAU